AAAACUGAAAAAGCAUGAAAGAAAGAAUGGUCUCAUUAUAUUGGGCUUUACAGGUCCACUUGCUUGAGGCUGAGUCCUGACUGCCUAAGGAAACCCAAAAGGCUCUGGUGAAUGUGUGCCGUGUGCUCAGCUCCAACUCCCCCGAGCAGCUGCCUUGCUCGGUAGUACCCCGGAUACCGACAUUACGCAAAGCAUCCACCAUUUUUCUGAACCUGCCUUUGUUAGUUUUGUCACUAAUAUAACACAAUGCCAAGAGAAACGAGCCCCGGCUUGAAAAUCCUCUGGGUCUGGACCCUCGGCACCGCCGCCAUACUGGUUACGAGUGUGGUACGAACAAGGCUAAGGGACAUGGAAAGCGUCAUGAACGCUCAAAAACAGGAGCCCAUUUCCACUGAUACGGUUCUGGUGGACGAGAUGCCGGGGUCUGAGGAUGUUAUACGUGAAGAGAGAUCAUAGGUUUGGAUCAAUCCCAUUUUUUCGUAACUGGGGUUUUGGUUUAUUUCUUGAAGUUUUAAUAGAUAUGGUUCGGAGGGUUCAAAUAAGAUUGUGCGCUAUAUGUUUGUUGAAUGUUCUGAAUGAAACUGUGAAUUGCCAUUUGGGGUUUAUUCAGAAAUUUGGUUUGCUCUUGAAGGAUUUCA
Corylus avellana is the source of this 638-nucleotide non-coding RNA. NCBI's taxonomy places the organism in Eukaryota, Viridiplantae, Streptophyta, Magnoliopsida, Fagales, Betulaceae. The record is from RefSeq and is a predicted model, not a curated record.